CCAAAGGCUCUUCUCAGAGCCACCCAUAUAGUCACUAAGAAUUGU
Non-coding RNA from Xenopus tropicalis (tropical clawed frog), 45 nucleotides. NCBI's taxonomy places the organism in Eukaryota, Metazoa, Chordata, Amphibia, Anura, Pipidae. The record is from Rfam.